Molecule: ribosomal RNA, 381 nt
Filed under: uncultured bacterium
Lineage: Bacteria
Description: bacterial SSU rRNA
Rfam family: Bacterial small subunit ribosomal RNA
Source: RNAcentral
GACGAACGCUGGCGGCGUGCUUAACACAUGCAAGUCGAACGGUGAAGCCCUUCGGGGUGGAUCAGUGGCGAACGGGUGAGUAACACGUGAGCAAUCUGCCCUUGACUCUGGGAUAACUUCGGGAAACCGGAGCUAAUACCGGAUAUGACGCACGGAGGCAUCUUCUGUGUGUGGAAAGAUUUAUCGGUCAAGGAUGAGCUCGCGGCCUAUCAGCUUGUUGGGGGGUAAUGGCCUACCAAGGCGACGACGGGUAGCCGGCCUGAGAGGGCGACCGGCCACACUGGGACUGAGACACGGCCCAGACUCCUACGGGAGGCAGCAGUGGGGAAUUUUGGACAAUGGGGAAACCCUGAUCCAGCCAUUCCGCGUGAGUGAAGAAGG